GUCCACGCCCUAAACGAUGAUCACUCGAUGUGUGCAAUACACCGUACGCGUCCGAGCGAAAGCAUUAAGUGAUCCACCUGGGGAGUACGGCCGCAAGGCUGAAACUCAAAGGAAUUGACGGGGGCCCGCACAAGCGGAGGAGCAUGUGGUUUAAUUCGAUGAUACGCGCGGAACCUUACCAGGGCUUGAAAGUUAGUGAAUGAUUUAGAAACAGGUCAGUCAGCAAUGACACGAAACUAGGUGCUGCAUGGCCGUCGU
RNAcentral lists this ribosomal RNA (258 nucleotides) under uncultured bacterium. Its description in RNAcentral is "partial 16S ribosomal RNA". It matches the Rfam family "Bacterial small subunit ribosomal RNA", at positions 793 to 1055 of the family's 1533-position model. The record is from RNAcentral.